RNAcentral lists this ribosomal RNA (336 nucleotides) under uncultured Pseudomonadota bacterium. Its description in RNAcentral is "bacterial SSU rRNA". It matches the Rfam family "Bacterial small subunit ribosomal RNA", at positions 29 to 351 of the family's 1533-position model. Lineage: Bacteria; Pseudomonadati; Pseudomonadota. The record is from RNAcentral.
AGCGAACGCUGGCGGCGUGCCUAACACAUGCAAGUCGAACGUGAAAUGGGGCAACCCAAAGUAAAGUGGCGUACGGGUGAGUAACGCGUAGGUAAUCUACCAAAGUGUCUGGAAUAACCGGCCGAAAGGCUGGCUAAUACUGGAUAGAGCGACGGGAUCCGUAAUCGGGUCUUUCGGGAAAGGGAGGCAGCAAUGCCCUUCGCACUUUGAUGAGCCUGCGUCUCAUUAGCUAGUUGGUGGGGUAACGGCUCACCAAGGCAUUGAUGAGUAGCUGGUCUGAGAGGAUGAUCAGCCACACCGGAACUGAGACACGGUCCGGACUCCUACGGGUGGCAG